GAUGAACGCUGUCGGCGUGCCUAAUACAUGCAAGUCGAGCGAAGCGGGGACGGGUGAGUAACACGUGGAUAACCUCCUAUAAGACUGGGAUAACUUCGGGAAACCGGAGCUAAACCCGACACUUAUCGAUGGAUCCACGCUGCAUUAGCUAGUUGGUAAGGUAACGGCUUACAAAGGCAACGAUGCAGAGCCGACCUGAGCGGUUGAUCGUCCACUCUGGACCUGAGACACGGUCCAUACUCCAACGGGAGGCAGCAGGAGGGAAUCUUCCGCAUUGAGCGAAAGCCUGACGGAGCAACGCCUCUUGAGUGUUGAAGGUCUUCGGAUCGUAAAACUCUGUUAUUAGGGAAGCGGUACCUAAUCAGAAAGCCACGGCUAACUACGUGCCAGCAGCCGCGGUAAUAC
RNAcentral lists this ribosomal RNA (405 nucleotides) under uncultured bacterium. RNAcentral's name for it is "partial 16S ribosomal RNA". It matches the Rfam family "Bacterial small subunit ribosomal RNA", at positions 28 to 526 of the family's 1533-position model. The record is from RNAcentral.